AGGGUCAUUGGAAACUGGAGAACUUGAGUGCAGAAGAGGAGAGUGGAAUUCCAUGUGUAGCGGUGAAAUGCGUAGAUAUAUGGAAGAACACCAGUGGCGAAAGCGACUCUCUGGUCUGUAACUGACGCUGAGGUUCGAAAGCGUGGGUAGCAAACAG
RNAcentral lists this ribosomal RNA (157 nucleotides) under uncultured bacterium. RNAcentral describes it as "partial 16S ribosomal RNA". It matches the Rfam family "Bacterial small subunit ribosomal RNA", at positions 619 to 775 of the family's 1533-position model. The record is from RNAcentral.